This 158-nucleotide ribosomal RNA is filed under the name Paraphoma sp. RNAcentral describes it as "5.8S ribosomal RNA". It matches the Rfam family "5.8S ribosomal RNA". Rfam says of the family: 5.8S ribosomal RNA (5.8S rRNA) is a component of the large subunit of the eukaryotic ribosome. It is transcribed by RNA polymerase I as part of the 45S precursor that also contains 18S and 28S rRNA. The record is from RNAcentral. Lineage: Eukaryota; Fungi; Ascomycota; Dothideomycetes; Pleosporales; Phaeosphaeriaceae.
CAACUUUCAACAACGGAUCUCUUGGUUCUGGCAUCGAUGAAGAACGCAUCGAAAUGCGAUAAGUAGUGUGAAUUGCAGAAUUCAGUGAAUCAUCGAAUCUUUGAACGCACAUUGCGCCCCUUGGUAUUCCAUGGGGCAUGCCUGUUCUAGCGUCAUUU